UACGGGGGGGGCUAGCGUUGUUCGGAAUUACUGGGCGUAAAGGGCGCGUAGGCGGCACUGUUAGUCAGGCGUGAAAGUCCUGGGCUCAACCUGGGAGCUGCGCUUGAUACGGCAGAGCUAGAGGAUGGAAGAGGCUCGCGGAAUUCCCAGUGUAGAGGUGAAAUUCGUAGAUAUUGGGAAGAACACCGGUGGCGAAGGCGGCGAGCUGGUCCAUUACUGACGCUGAGGCGCGACAGCGUGGGGAGCAAACAGG
Molecule: ribosomal RNA, 253 nt
Filed under: uncultured bacterium
Lineage: Bacteria
Description: partial 16S ribosomal RNA
Rfam family: Bacterial small subunit ribosomal RNA
Source: RNAcentral